Molecule: ribosomal RNA, 440 nt
Filed under: uncultured bacterium
Lineage: Bacteria
Description: partial 16S ribosomal RNA
Rfam family: Bacterial small subunit ribosomal RNA
Source: RNAcentral
CCUACGGGUGGCAGCAGUGGGGAAUAUUGCACAAUGGGCGAAACCCUGAUGCAGCGACGCCGCGUGAGUGAAGAAGUAUUUCGGGUUGUAAAGUCCUUUCAGCGGGGAGGAAAAUGACGGUACCUAAGUAAGAAGCCCCGGCUAACUACGUGCCAGCAGCCGCGGUAAUACGGAGGGGGCAAGCGUUAUCCGGAAUUACUGGGUGUAAAGGGAGCGUAGACGGCAGUGCAAGUCUGGUGUGAAAGGCGCGGGCUCAACCCGCGGACUGCACUUGAAACUGGACGGCUGGAGUGCGGGAGAGGUAAGUGGAAUUCCUGGUGUAGCGGUGAAAUGCGUAGAUAUCAGGAGGAACACCAGUGGCGAAGGCGGCCUGCUGGACGAUGACUGACGCUGAGGUACGAAAGCGUGGGGAGCAAACGGGAUUAGAUACCCCGGUAGUC